GUAGUCUGCCAUACGCAGGAAGACCCGCUGAACUGAAGCAUCUCAUUAAGCGGAGGAAAAGAAACUAACUAGGAUUCCCUUAGUAAAGGCGAUCGAAAAGGGAACAGCCCAACGUCUUAAUCCCGCAAGGGAAAUGUAGUCGGUUCACCUAUUGCACUGGUCUAAGUCAGAUGGAAUGCUGCGCGAUUCAGAGUAAAAGCCUCGUAUGACCAACCGCAAGCUUACGAUGGACCGGGGAGAGUCGGAUACUUUGAGAGUAGUGUCUUAAGGGGGUGGUAUGUCCCAUCCAAGGCUAAAUAACGUGAGGAGACCGAUAGAUUACAAGUAGUGUGAACGAAAGAUGAAAAGAACUCUAAAACAGAGGGUGAAAAGUUCCUGAACUUGCUUAGGGUUAAGGCUAUUUAUAGUACCCGUCUUGAAACACGGAUUAGGGAGUUUAUCUGUAGUGCGAGUCUUUGCACGUUAACUGUAAAGGCGUAGAGAAAGCAACUGGCGUUUGCAUGGCUACUGAGCAUUACUGAUAGGACCCGAAAGGUGGUGAACUUUGCCUGCACAGGUUGAAGUCAGGAGAAACUCUGAUGGAGGACCGUACGGGUUAUUGAUGUGCAAAUCAUUUUUC
Non-coding RNA from Trichomonas vaginalis G3, 619 nucleotides. Lineage: Eukaryota; Parabasalia; Trichomonadida; Trichomonadidae. The record is from Rfam.